This 68-nucleotide transfer RNA is filed under the name Bandicota bengalensis (lesser bandicoot rat). RNAcentral's name for it is "tRNA-Val". It matches the Rfam family "tRNA". From Rfam's summary of the family: Transfer RNA (tRNA) molecules are approximately 80 nucleotides in length. Their secondary structure includes four short double-helical elements and three loops (D, anti-codon, and T loops). Further hydrogen bonds mediate the characteristic L-shaped molecular structure. tRNAs have two regions of fundamental functional importance: the anti-codon, which is responsible for specific mRNA codon recognition, and the 3' end, to which the tRNAs corresponding amino acid is attached (by aminoacyl-tRNA synthetases). tRNAs cope with the degeneracy of the genetic code in two manners: having more than one tRNA (with a specific anti-codon) for a particular amino acid; and 'wobble' base-pairing, i.e. permitting non-standard base-pairing at the 3rd anti-codon position. The record is from RNAcentral. Lineage: Eukaryota; Metazoa; Chordata; Mammalia; Rodentia; Muridae.
CACAGUGUAGCUUAAUCAUAAAGCAUCUGGCCUACACCCAGAAGAAUUCAUAGAAAUGAACACUUUGA